AUGGGGCUUGGGCUCAGCUGGGUUUUCCUUGUUGCUAUUUUAAGAGGUGUCCAGGGUGAGGUGCAGCUGGUGGAGUCUGGGGGAGCCGUGGUGAAGCCUGGGGGGUCUCUGAGACUGUCCUGUGCAGCCUCUGGAUUCACCUUCAGUAGCACCUGGAUGAGCUGGGUCCGCCAGCCUCCAGGGAAGGGACUGGAGUGGGUCUCAGGCAUUAAUACUGAUGGAGGUAGCACAUACUAUGCAGCCUCUGUGAAGGGCCGAUUCACCAUCUCCAGAGACAACGCCAAGAACACCCUGUAUCUGCAAAUGAACAGCCUAAAAUCUGAGGACUCGGCGGUGUAUUUCUGUGCAACACAGCUGUGCAGGUCUUUGGCAGGGCACUGGGGCCGAGGCACCACAGUCACCGUCUCCUCAGGUGACGAAUCUGCCCCAAACCUCUUCCCCCUCGUCUCCUGUGAGAGUCCCCUGUCCGAUGAGAGCCUGGUGGCCAUGGGUUGCCUGGCCAAGGACUUCAUGCCCAACUCUGUCACCUUCUCCUGGAGCUAUAAGAACAGCAGUGACAUCAGCAGCCAGGCCGUCAAUACCUUCUGGUCGGUCCUGAGUGAGGGGAAGUACUCGGCCAGCUCCCAGGUGUUGCUGCCCUCCGCUGACAUCCUCCAGGGCACAGAUGAGUUCGUGACCUGCAAAGUCAAACACCCUAAAGGGCAAUCAGAUGUGCAGGUGCCCAUCCAAGCAGUGCAAGACGUUGCCCCCACCGUGAAUGUCUUCAUCCCGCCCCGGGACUCCUUCUCUGGCACCAGCGUCCGCACAUCCAAGCUCGUCUGCCAGGCCACGGGCUUCAGCCCCAAGACAAUCUCCGUGUCCUGGCUGCGGGAUGGAAAGCUGCUGGACUCUGGCUUCACCACGGACAAACCACAAGUUGAGCACAAAGGGUCAGGACCCGUGACCUACAAGGUCACCAGCACACUGACCAUCACCGAGAGUGACUGGCUCAGCCAGACCGUGUUCACCUGCCAAGUGGAGCACAGACAGCUGACCUUCCAGAAGAACGUGUCAUCCAUGUGUCUCCCCAGUACGUCCACCUCCAUCCGAGUCUUCCCCAUCGCCCCCACCUUCGCCAGCAUCUUCCUCACCAAGGUAGCGAAGCUGUCCUGCCUGGUCACAGACCUGGCCACCUAUGACAGCCUGAACAUUGCCUGGACCCGCCAGAACAAGGAGGAACUGAAAACCCACAUCAACAUCUCCAAGAGCCAUCCCAAUGCCACUUUCAGCGCCACAGGGGAAGCCACAGUAUGCGUGGAAGACUGGGAGUCAGGAGAUGAGUUCACGUGCAUAGUGACCCACACAGACCUGCCCUCACCGCUGAAGCUCUCUGUCUCCAGGCCCAAGGAUUUCGCCAAGCACAUGCCCUCUGUCUACCUGCUGCCACCCAGCAGGGAGCAGCUGAGCCUGCGGGAGUCGGCCUCCAUCACCUGCUUGGUGAAGGGCUUCUCGCCUGCAGACGUGUUUGUGCAGUGGAUGCAGAGAGGGCAGCCCAUGUCCCCCGACACAUAUGUGACCAGCGCCCCGAUGCCUGAGCCCCAGGCCCCCGGCCUGUACUUCACCUACAGCAUCCUGACCGUGACUGAGGAGGACUGGAGCGCCGGGGAGACCUACACCUGCGUUGUGGCCCACGAGGCCCUGCCCCACUCUGUGACCGAGAGGACCGUGGACAAGUCCACUGGUAAACCCACCCUGUACAACGUGUCCCUGGUCAUGUCUGACCUGGCCAACACCUGCCACUGA
This is a non-coding RNA of Miniopterus natalensis, 1782 nucleotides long. The record is from the annotation of a RefSeq genome assembly. NCBI's taxonomy places the organism in Eukaryota, Metazoa, Chordata, Mammalia, Chiroptera, Miniopteridae.